Molecule: ribosomal RNA, 315 nt
Filed under: Porcellio scaber
Lineage: Eukaryota; Metazoa; Arthropoda; Malacostraca; Isopoda; Porcellionidae
Description: partial 12S ribosomal RNA
Source: RNAcentral
GUAGUUGCUAUAGUCUUGAAACCUAAAGGGUAUGGCGGUCUUCAAUCAAAUCAGAGGAACCUGCCCAGUAAGCGAUAACCCACGAUUUAUCUUACCCUCCUUAGGUUUGUAUACCGUCGUCUAGGCUUCAUUUAAAGGUAGGGCUGCAAGUAGAAUAUAAGUAAGUCAGAUCCAGGCGCAGCUUAGAAGGGUUGAGGUGGGUUACAAUUAAAUUUUUAGUGGGGGAGGGAGUAUUUGCCCUAAAUAAAUAGGAUUUGAAAGUAACUUUUAGUUUAAUAGACUUUAGUGAUUUAGAUUUUGAGGAUGUACACAUCG